This 75-nucleotide transfer RNA is filed under the name Amborella trichopoda. RNAcentral describes it as "tRNA AMTR_s00001t00279640". It matches the Rfam family "tRNA". From Rfam's summary of the family: Transfer RNA (tRNA) molecules are approximately 80 nucleotides in length. Their secondary structure includes four short double-helical elements and three loops (D, anti-codon, and T loops). Further hydrogen bonds mediate the characteristic L-shaped molecular structure. tRNAs have two regions of fundamental functional importance: the anti-codon, which is responsible for specific mRNA codon recognition, and the 3' end, to which the tRNAs corresponding amino acid is attached (by aminoacyl-tRNA synthetases). tRNAs cope with the degeneracy of the genetic code in two manners: having more than one tRNA (with a specific anti-codon) for a particular amino acid; and 'wobble' base-pairing, i.e. permitting non-standard base-pairing at the 3rd anti-codon position. Lineage: Eukaryota; Viridiplantae; Streptophyta; Magnoliopsida; Amborellales; Amborellaceae. The record is from RNAcentral.
UGGGUGUAUAGCUCAGUUGGUAGAGCAUUGGGCUUUUAACUUACUGGUCGCAGGUUCAAGUCUUGCCAUACCCAA